Long non-coding RNA from Cheilinus undulatus (humphead wrasse), 357 nucleotides. RefSeq lists it as uncharacterized. Lineage: Eukaryota; Metazoa; Chordata; Actinopteri; Labriformes; Labridae. The transcript is spliced from 4 exons. The record is from RefSeq and is a predicted model, not a curated record.
GGCAGUGACAGACGGAGCAGGCUUCUCCAGCGCUUCAAAUGAGGAACUACUCCAAAUUAUCAGUGAGACAGGCGACAUGAAGGUGAAAUUCAGAGAGAUGGACUUCAGGGGUGGCCUCCUCCUCUUGCCUUCCUUCUUCAAGGAAAAGAUCGAAGAUAUCAUCGUUCUUGGAAAGCGCUGAAGGUGGUCCAGGGGUUCAGGACUCUGAGUGGAGACUGGGACACGUGGGUUCGACUCCUGCCUCAGCAGAUCUGAGUUCAUUCAUGGCGUGGUUCCGGCGACCCUCCACCUCCCCAGCACCGCCAAGUCUACAAGUCCAUCAACUAUGGACUAAGAUGACUUGUUCAGCCAUCACCA